Molecule: ribosomal RNA, 451 nt
Filed under: uncultured bacterium
Lineage: Bacteria
Description: bacterial SSU rRNA
Rfam family: Bacterial small subunit ribosomal RNA
Source: RNAcentral
ACGCUGGCGGCGUGCCUAAAACAUGCAAGUCGAACGGGGUCUUCGGACCCAGUGGCGAACGGCGGAGUAAUACAUAAGCAACGUGCCCCUGAAGACUGGGGAUAUACGAUGGAAACGUCGGGCAAUACCAGAUGUGGUUGGGAGGAGUCAUCUUCAUCCAAUUAAACGGAUUUAUUCGCUUCGGGAGCGGCUUGUGGCCUAUCAGCUAGUUGGUGAGGUAAAGGCUCACCAAGGCGACGACGGGUAGGGGGUCUGAGAGGAUGAUCCCCUCGAGUGGGACUGAGACACGGCCCACACACCUACGGGUGGCAGCAGUUGGGAAUCUUGCACAAUGGGGAAACCCCUGAUGCAGCGACGCCGCGUGGAGGAUGAAGGAUUUCGGUCUGUAAACUCCUUUUACAGGGAAAGACUUAGGACGGUACCCUGUGAAUAAGCUCCGGCUAACUACGUG